UUAACUCAAAUUUGUAUGAAGCUGGAACGUUUGCCGCUAGGAGCGCUGUUCCAACUGCAUACAAAGAGUUA
This 71-nucleotide microRNA precursor is filed under the name Bombyx mori (domestic silkworm). RNAcentral describes it as "mir-2807 microRNA precursor family". It matches the Rfam family "mir-2807 microRNA precursor family". Lineage: Eukaryota; Metazoa; Arthropoda; Insecta; Lepidoptera; Bombycidae. The record is from Rfam by way of RNAcentral.